Molecule: ribosomal RNA, 625 nt
Filed under: Drosophila melanogaster (fruit fly)
Lineage: Eukaryota; Metazoa; Arthropoda; Insecta; Diptera; Drosophilidae
Description: partial 12S ribosomal RNA
Source: RNAcentral
ACUAAAUUGGUGCCAGCAGUCGCGGUUAUACCAUUAAUACAAAUAAAUUUUUUUAGUAUUAAUUAAAUUAAAUUUAUUAAUAAUAAUAAAAUUAAAUAUAUUAAGUGAAAUUUUAUAUUUAAAUUAUUAUAUAAAAAUGUAAUUGAGGUUAAAAAAUUUUAAUAAAAAACUAGGAUUAGAUACCCUAUUAUUUAAAAUGUAAAUAAAUUGCUAAAGUAGUAAUAGUUAUGUUCUUGAAACUUAAAAAAUUUGGCGGUAUUUUAGUCUAUCUAGAGGAACCUGUUUUUUAAUCGAUAAUCCACGAUGGACCUUACUUAAAUUUGUAAUCAGUUUAUAUACCGUCGUUAUCAGAAUAUUUUAUAAGAAUAAUAAUAUUCAAUAAUUUUAAUAAAAAUUUAUAUCAGAUCAAGGUGUAGCUUAUAUUUAAGUAAUAAUGGGUUACAAUAAAUUUAUUUAUAUGAAUAAAAUUAUGAAAAAAUUUUUGAAAGUGGAUUUAGUAGUAAAAUUAUAAAGAUUAAUAAUUUGAUUUUAGCUCUAAAAUAUGUACACAUCGCCCGUCGCUCUUAUUAUUAAGGUAAGAUAAGUCGUAACAUAGUAGAUGUACUGGAAAGUGUAUCUAGAAUGA